Molecule: ribosomal RNA, 378 nt
Filed under: uncultured eukaryote
Lineage: Eukaryota
Description: partial 18S ribosomal RNA
Rfam family: Eukaryotic small subunit ribosomal RNA
Source: RNAcentral
CAAUAGCGUAUAUUAAAGUUGUUGCAGUUAAAAAGCUCGUAGUUGGAUUUCGGGACGGGCCAGUUGGUCCGCCGCAAGGUGUGUUACUGACUGGUCUGUUCUUCUUCGCAAAGACUGCGUGUGCUCUUCGUUGAGUGUGCGUAGGAUUUACGACGUUUACUUUGAAAAAAUUAGAGUGUUCAAAGCAGGCUAUCGCUUGAAUACAUGAGCAUGGAAUAAUGGAAUAGGACUUUGGUCCUAUUUUGUUGGUUUCUAGGACCGAAGUAAUGAUUAAGAGGGACAAUUGGGGGCAUCCGUAUUUCGUUGUCAGAGGUGAAAUUCUUGGAUUUACGAAAGACGAACAACUGCGAAAGCACUUGCCAAGAGUGUUUUCAUUGA